UCCCAAUAGUUAGAGGUUGAAACUUUUGUUUACACAAGAGAAGACAAAAAAGAGAAGACAGAGUAUUUGGUUCAGUGGAAAGGUUAUGACAAACAGGAUGACACUUGGGAACCAGAGCAGCACAUCGUGAACUGUGAAAAAUGUUUCUAUGUCUUUAACAGAUGACAGACUGAAAAGCAGAAAACAAAGACACAGAUCAAAACAAGUAGAACUUUUUCAAACAAUGCCCCAAAAAAAGAACUUCCAGAUCUACCAACACCAACUUUUCUAAUAACUCUCCUAAUAUGUUAUUAACUGGCAAACACCACAAGUUCUAAAACAGCCAGUGAUUUGCUGCCAGCCACAAUGUUAGGAAAAAUGCAGCUUCACCUCUCUUUCACCCAAAGCAUACGGAGAUAGUAAAUUCAACUAUCAAGACACUUGCACAUCAGAGCCCCUUUAACAGCAAGAACAGAGUGACUGACAUUCAGGAACCUGAGACACUAAACCCUAUUGCACCAGAUUAGCAGGACACAGUGGUGUUCAACGUGGCAGUAGAGAAGCCUGUCAGAGCUUUAUCAGAUCCCAGUGCAGGACCAGCUGGAAUAGAAAAAAGGCCACUGAUACAUGCACUAUUGUCUCAGAUGUCUGGCUCAGUUACUACUGCAUCCAUGGUCACAGGCUCAGCUAACAAGGAAGGUAUAUUGGUAUUAAUGGACUCAUCAACAGCCAACAGAAGAACAAAUAUGCAUACACCUAUUACAAGAGUGAGAGGCGGGCAAAGAAAGGUUAAUGAUAAUAACAGAGACCAGCCUUUUAUGUAGAGGAUGCAUGUCACCAGAAGGCUAACAGAAAGUGCCAGCAGAUACAGAGACAUUGUAGUGAGGAAAGAGGAUGGAUUCACCUAGAUAUUGGUAUCAACUAGAUUGACAGGAGAAAACACACUGAAUGCAGAAGUAAUGAAAGAAAUCAUGAAUGCUCUGAAUAUGGCUGCUCCAGAUGAUAGCAAACUUGUGCUGUUCAGCACAGUUGGCAGUGUCUUUUGCUGUGGUCUUGAUUUUGGGUACUUCGUGAAGCAUUUAACAAAUGACAGAAAGAGAACAAGCAUUGAAAUGGUGGACAAUAUCAAGAAUGUUUUUGACAAUUUCAUUCAAUUUAAAAAGUCAACUGUUGUAUCAGUCAAUGGGCCAGCCAUUGGACUGGGUGCAUCCAUACUGCCUCUUUGUCACUUGAUUUGGGCUAAUGACAGCUUUGGUUUCAAACCCCUUAUACAACAUUUGGACAGAGUUCAGAUGGCUUUCUAGUGUUACAUUUCCCAAUGAUGGGUGAAGCAUCUGCCAAUAAAAUGUUGAGUGCUGUGUGAAAGCUGACAAUACAGGAGGCAUGUGCCAAAGACCUGGUUUCUCAGGUGUUUUGAACAGCAACUUUCACCCAAGAUAUUAUGGUUCAAAUUAAUGAGCUUGCCUCAUGUAAUCCAGUUGUUCUGGAGGAAUGUAAGGCCCUUGCUAGCUGUAAUAUUAAGAUGGAGUUUGAACAAAUGGCUGAGAAAGAAUGUUAAAUGCUGAAGAAAAUCUGGGGUUCAGCCCAUGGGAUACAAUAUAUGUUAGCGUAAGUGCAAAAAAAAAAUGAUGAGUUUUAA
RNAcentral lists this long non-coding RNA (1618 nucleotides) under Homo sapiens (human). RNAcentral describes it as "non-protein coding lnc-AMELY-27:1". The record is from RNAcentral. Lineage: Eukaryota; Metazoa; Chordata; Mammalia; Primates; Hominidae.